AUGGAAAAGUGUCCCUGAAACGGGAAUUCCAUGGAAAAGUGUCCCUGAAACGGGAAUUCCAUGGAAAAGUGUCCCUGAAACGGGAAUUCCAUGGGAAAUGGGAAAAGUGGCUCGAAAAAUGGGUAAAUCACCUGGAAAUUGAGAAAUUCCAUGCGAAAAUGUCCCCAAAAUGGAGAAAUUCCCUGGAAAAAUGACCCUAAAAUGGAGAAAUUUGAUCAAAAAAUGACCCUAAAAUGGAGAAGUUUCCUGGAAAAAUGUCCCUAAAAUGGAGAAAUUCCCUGGAAAAAUGUCCCUAAAAUGGAGAAAUUCCAUGGAAAAAUGACCCUAAAAUGGAGAAAUUCCACGGGAAAAUGUCCCUAAAAUGGAGAAAUUCCACGGGAAAAUGGAAAAAUUCCAUGGAAAAAUGUCCCUAAAAAUGGGAAAUUCCAUGGGAAAAUGGGAAAAUCACCUGGAAAUUGAGAAAUUCUAUGGAAAAUUGUCCUUAAAAUGGAGAAAUUCAUGGAAAAUGUCCCUGAAAUUGAGAAAUUCCAGGAAAAAACGAGGAAAGUUCCAGGGGAAAAUGUCAGAGAAAUGGAGAAUUUUCCAUGGAAAAAUAUCCCAGGAAUUGAAAAUUCCAAUGGGAUUUUUGGACCUUUAUUUUAUGGGAUUUUUUUGAAUUUCUGGGCUCUUUUUUAACAUUAUUUUUUGGUUCUUUUUUUGGGAUUUUAGCCAGAUUUUUUUGGGAUUUGGGGCUGGUUUGGCUGAGCUGGAAAUCACAAAAAAAUCCUCGAAAUUCUGGGGAAAAAAAGGAAAAAAAAAAUCACAAAAAUGCAAAAAUUCUGGAAUUGGGGGCUGGGAAUCCGAGCGGGAACUGGGAGAGGAAAAAUUGGGCUGAAAAUGGGCCAAAAAAUCGGGAUUUUGGUGUUUUGGGGGCUUUUAUUUUGAUUUUUUUUUUUGGGAAUAAACGGAAUUUGGAUGAGCUGGAAUUGGGGUGA
This 974-nucleotide long non-coding RNA is filed under the name Lonchura striata (white-rumped munia). RNAcentral describes it as "domestica (Bengalese finch) lncRNA (ENSLSDG00000012466.1)". Lineage: Eukaryota; Metazoa; Chordata; Aves; Passeriformes; Estrildidae. The record is from RNAcentral.